UAGAUCUAAUACCAUUUUUUUAAAAGAAAAAUUUUUCUGCCCAUCAGCAGUAAUUUAAUUGCUCUUUCUCCAAGUGCAAGAAGCGGAGGGUUCUCAGGUUACUUUUCACUGUAUAGCCUACCAAUUGCUACCAGACCAUUGUGUCUCCACUGGAAAAAAAAUUUCUGACAAGAGAGAGUGUAAGAUUCUUUCCAUUCCAUCCUUUAGAAGAAGUUCGCAGAUGCAAGAAUUGAGCACUUCUCCAUCCGCAACGCGGUGCCAAGGUUAAUCUUCCGAUCAUUAUCUAUAGUAAUCGCCACAACUGUCGCUGCCAUGUUUCCUUUCUUCAGAGACAUUAAUGAGUGCUUGAAGCAUUUGGAUUCAUACCUCUAGACAUCAUUUUGUCUGUGGUCUUCUAUAACUUGACUUUCAACCAUCCAAGAAGGGAAUAAUGUUUUGGGGGAACACAUUGAUUGUUAUAAUCUUUUCAAUACUGGGACUUCUGGUUACAGUAUCUCCAAUUCGGUAAAUAGUUCUUGAUGCCAAUACACAGCUUUUUUGCUAACGUUUAAUCACAGUAGCUACAUAAACUUCUUUGGGGUGACCAGGAUCCACACUCUUCCAAAUGCUAUGUGGAGCAACGAUAACUCACAUGCAAUUAAGCAGUGAUAAAGAGCUCCUUUUCUAAUUAUAUUUUCUAGAUUGAAAAUUUUUGGAGAAUUAGUGAAUAAACAAAUGCAACAUAAUUGCACAGAAGUUCAUCUAUCUCCCACAAGGUCCCAAAUGAACAAGUCAGAUAUUAUGGCAUUUACCCAUGCUACAGAAAUAUCAUGAUUAAGCAAUUGGCAGGAGAUAUCAAACCAGAAAGCUGGAUUUUUUCACCUUUUGGUUCAAGGGAGGAGCAGAGAGAAGUACGAUUUGACUCCCCAAAUAUAAAAUGCCUACAUCAUUAAUUGAUGGUACCCAAUACUUCAGUCACUUUCAAAUUCUGUUUCUUCAUUUCUUGAUCUCCAGUGGACCUUACUGCCUCUCAUUGCAUUUGCCAACUCUUUUAUUGAACAAGAAGUGCUUCGCUCCAUUUUACCUGCAAGUAUCUCUAUAUUAUCCAACAAUCCUAGCCCUAUUAGCCUGUUUCUCAACAUCUCAACGGUACAGGAAUAUGGUGGUACUCCUUCAUCAAUCAUCAUCUCAAAGUACUUACAUGCCUCCUCAAGUUUACCAUGUUUCUUGGACAAACCAUGAACCAUAACAGCAUAUGUUGAGACUGAAGGAUAAAAGCCCCUCUCCGCCAUACUCUCCCAAACUUCAGUUGCUCUAUCAAAUCUCCCAACUCUUAUCAGCAGUUUGAGCAACAUGUUAUAACUAUGUCGAUCCGGUGAGCAAUCAUCUUUCACCAUUCUAGAGAUCAGCCUAGUAGCUCUAUUGACCUCAGAAUGCUCACAAUGAUAAGCUAAUAUUGCAUUGUAACUCCAUGCAUCAGGGCUACCUCCCCUCUCAAUCAUCUCAUUCAAAAGUUGAUAAGCCUCUUCUACCUUGUCAUUCUUGCAAAGUUUCUUGAUGAUGCAAUUAUAAGUGAACGCAUUAGGCAUGAGAUCAUAUCGCCGCAUUUCAUCAAGCACUCUGAAAGCCAAAUGAAUAUCACUUGCCUCACAAUACGCACGAAUGAAAAUCGAAUAACUACAAGCAUCUGGCUCAAUUCCAUUUGAACUCAUUUCUCGAAACAUCUUAUAGGCUUCACUGACUCUUCCUCCCUUGCAAAAAGCCUCUAACAAGCAAUUAUAAGCAAGCACAUCCACCGCACAUUGUUGGUCACGCAUUUCGUCAAACACUUUACAUGCUGACUCUGAUUCGCCAAUAUCACCCCAUCCCCUGACCAAAAUGCUAUAAGUUUUCAGUUUAGGCUCAUAUUGACGCUUAACUCUAUCAAAAAAUUGCUGGGCAACCUUCACAUGCUUCCUUUUGCAUAACACAUACAACAACUGAUCAAGAUCAUCAAUGGUAGGCUUUAAACCAAACUCAACCAUUCUGUCAAAAGCACGAAUUGCAUCACCUGGCAAAUUAGCUCUACUAUAAGCUCUAAAAACAAGCCAAAAAGUUUGUGGGGUUAUAUUAAAAUCUCGACAUUCUCUCAUUUCCAUCAAGAAAUCCCAUAAAAUAGCAAACUGCUUACUAGCACCCAAUAUAUCCACCAAAACGUGAUAGCUUUCUACACUAUGCUCAAAACCUUGAAUUCUUUUAGCCCAAAGGAAAAAUCUGUGGGCAGAGAAUCCAAGAUUCUUGCAGCGUUUCAAGACUUGCUCUACUAAGUCGGUGGAUAUCUUUGAAGAGUAAGUGUUGAGAGAAAGCUCCAAGUCAUGAUGGGGGUUUCUGUGGUCACUGAGAAUGCGAGAGAUCUCAUUCACAAGUUCUGGUGAUGACUGGUUCGCAUUGGGUGGAGUGAGAAGAGAGAGAGAGUGAGGACGAAGAUGGGAGUAGGGGCUGUGGAGAGAAUAGAAGACAGAGCACAAUAUUCUGCUUUUAGAGGCAAGCGAUCUUACUGCCAUUUUGGAAGCUCAUCCAAUAAUCUCUGUUUUUGGUAUGAGAAGGCAAUGCAUGGACUAUUGGAUGGAAAUUAUUUCGAACCAUUGGAUCUGUUUCCG
This 2618-nucleotide unclassified non-coding RNA is filed under the name Hevea brasiliensis (rubber tree). The record is from RNAcentral. Lineage: Eukaryota; Viridiplantae; Streptophyta; Magnoliopsida; Malpighiales; Euphorbiaceae.